RNAcentral lists this ribosomal RNA (253 nucleotides) under uncultured bacterium. RNAcentral describes it as "partial 16S ribosomal RNA". It matches the Rfam family "Bacterial small subunit ribosomal RNA", at positions 524 to 776 of the family's 1533-position model. The record is from RNAcentral.
UACGUAGGGUGCGAGCGUUGUCCGGAAUUACUGGGCGUAAAGGGCUCGUAGGUGGCCAACUAAGUCAGACGUGAAAUCCCCAGGCUCAACUUGGGAACUGCGUCUGAUACUGGAUGGCUUGAAUUCGGGAGAGGGAUGCAGAAUUCCAGGUGUAGCGGUGAAAUGCGUAGAUAUCUGGAGGAAUACCGGUGGCGAAGGCGGCAUCCUGGACCGAGAUUGACACUGAUGAGCGAAAGCUAGGGGAGCAAACGGG